This 403-nucleotide ribosomal RNA is filed under the name bacterium. Its description in RNAcentral is "partial 16S ribosomal RNA". It matches the Rfam family "Bacterial small subunit ribosomal RNA", at positions 355 to 776 of the family's 1533-position model. The record is from RNAcentral.
UGGGGAAUAUUGCACAAUGGGGGAAACCCUGAUGCAGCGACGCCGCGUGAACGAAGAAGGUAUUCGUAUCGUAAAGUUCUGUCCUAUGGGAAGAUAAUGACAGUACCAUAGAAGAAAGCUCCGGCUAAAUACGUGCCAGCAGCCGCGGUAAUACGUAUGGAGCGAGCGUUGUCCGGAAUUAUUGGGCGUAAAGGGUACGCAGGCGGUUUAAUAAGUCGAAUGUUAAAGAUCGGGGCUCAACCCCGUAAAGCAUUGGAAACUGAUAAACUUGAGUAGUGGAGAGGAAAGUGGAAUUCCUAGUGUAGUGGUGAAAUACGUAGAUAUUAGGAGGUAUACCAGUAGCGAAGGCGACUUUCUGGACACAAACUGACGCUGAGGUACGAAAGCGUGGGGAGCAAACAGG